UCUUGAUGACCUUGCUAAGGGUGACGCGUGGAAAGUAGUCAACCUUUGUGCACCCUCGAAACAUUUUACCGGGCGGCUACACUUUGGAGAGGCCGAAGACGAGGAAGAGGAUGUUGCGUAUCAAGAGCCCAACGCAAUAGGUAUUCCUAACUCCUCUACCGUUCGCCUUAAUAAUUUUAAAGCGGGUCGUUCGGUGCGAAUUCGUGAUGAAGAGCCAAGGCUUAUUGAUGUUGAUCCAAAUCAAGAAACAGACGAAGACUCUGGCGAUGAGGAAAGACAUAUAUUACCAGAAAUUAAUUCUGACACCGAAGAAGACUCAUCGGAUGAUUCCGAUUACGAGCCUUAGUUUUAAUUUAGAGGAUGUAAUCCAUUAAUUUGUAUAACUAAAGACCUUUUCCUUUAUAGUUUACAUAUGUUGAAUUCAUAUUUCAGUUAUUCUAUAUGAAUUUUGGUGAUACAUGAUGAACAUGAAGUUAGUAUGGUUUACUAAUAUCGUCUGUUUUUUUAAUGUAUUUUUUCCUUAAGCCGACGAAAUACACCAUAAUUCGUCGGCUAAAACCAUCUUAGUUGACGAAAUAUAGUAUAUUUCGUCGGCUAAAACCAUCUUAGCCGACGAAUUAUAGUGUAUUUCGUCGGCUAAUAAAGUUUUAGCCGACGAAUAACCUAAUAUUUCGUCGGCUUUAAUUAUUUUUUAAUUUUUUAAUUACAUACUAUAGCCGACGAAUACGUUAGGGUAUUCGUCGGCUAAACUCUAAAAUUUUCUAUUACCUACUAUAGCCCUAUCUUCGGUUGUUAUUUUCCGUAAAAUUUUUUAGACGACUUCUUGCGUCUCAUCGGUUUGAAACUAUUUUCAGUUGGAGGUCCGGCCAAAAUACGUAAUUUAGACGGACGAACGACCUUUUCCAUGCGUUUAGGGGUUUGACUUACGAGAUUGACCGUCCGGAUCGAGCCCCUAUUCUUGUCGGAUCAAGUUGAAUUUUUUCCCAUACAUGUAUUUUGUCAUGAUGGUCAGAUCUGACGGUCGGAUUUAUUUUUCUCAAGUUUGAUCAUCACAAUCACAACAUGCAUACUAAUGUUGUAUAACUUGUUUACCAAGUGUUAUGUAAAUGUUCUG
Molecule: long non-coding RNA, 1114 nt
Filed under: Fragaria vesca (wild strawberry)
Lineage: Eukaryota; Viridiplantae; Streptophyta; Magnoliopsida; Rosales; Rosaceae
Description: long non-coding RNA (FVES_LNC004705)
Source: RNAcentral